MicroRNA precursor from Aquila chrysaetos chrysaetos, 92 nucleotides. Lineage: Eukaryota; Metazoa; Chordata; Aves; Accipitriformes; Accipitridae. The record is from Ensembl.
GGUACCCUAUGAAUCUAGUGGAAUCACUUCUGCACAAACUUGACUACUGAAAUCAGUGUGCGGAAAUGCUUCUGCUACAUUUUUAGGGUCUC